This is a long non-coding RNA of Melozone crissalis (California towhee), 1096 nucleotides long. RefSeq lists it as uncharacterized. NCBI's taxonomy places the organism in Eukaryota, Metazoa, Chordata, Aves, Passeriformes, Passerellidae. The record is from RefSeq and is a predicted model, not a curated record. The transcript is spliced from 2 exons.
CCAGGACUGUGUCCAGAUGGCUUUGGGCUAUCUCCAAGGAUGGCAGCUCCAACAACCUGUGCCAGUGCCUGAUGACCCCCUCAGUGAAAGGUGUGCCUGGUGACCCCCUCAGUGAAAGGCUGUUCCCUCUCCCAGCAGGGUUUGAGGUGUUUCAGUUCAUGACUCUCAUCCUGGUGUUGUGCAGAGCUCGGUGACACCGUGACUCAGAUUGCCUCAGGAAUGUGAGCAUUGGCAGUGCUGUGCCAUCUCUGCUCCUGUUCCCCCUCUUCAGGCAUUGCUAGCAGCCCCUUUGCCUUUUGGGGGAUAAAGCCUUGGUUAGGGGGUGCCUGUGCAUUGACUCAGAUCCCUUUCCUGCUCCUUGGUCCUUUUUUGGGAUUGGGAGCAGAGAGCCCUUUCUGCUGCCACACUCCUGCCUGUGCUGAGCUCACAGGGGGAGCAGCACCCCCAAACCUGGCAGUGUCCAGGUCUGCAGGGUCAGGGAGCAGCCCAGAGUGUGGAGCCCUGGGCUGUGCAGGGGGAGUGUGCUGUGCACACACAGGGGAUGGCUCUGGGUCUCAGCUCAUCUCCCACACGACAGGAGGCCACAGGGCUUCCCAGCUGGAUUGCGAGCUUUGGGUGCAGGAUAAACACAUUCAGAGCAGUCCAAGCCCCAUGUGGGCAGCUGAUCUGCCUUCCUGGAUGAGAACAGUGCCCACCACCUUUGUCUCUAGCUCGCCAUUCUGCAUUAGGGGUUGCUGCAAGAGUCUGUCACCUUUGGCUCCAGCCCUUAUCCACGCCUGAGCCUCAAAGCAGGAAAGCUCAAACUCCCCAUUUACCAUCUCAGCAAGCUAAAUAAGAGGAGUGUUCCUGCACUGAUGAGUGCUGCAGGUGACAGAACACUCCCCUGCAUCCCAGGGCAGGUACUGGGGAGCAGUGGAGGUGUCUGGGGGAAGCUGCAGAACCCAGGCCCAGCUCGGGGCAGGGACAGGCUGCAGCUCCUCUGCCAUCCACUGUUAUUGAACAUCUGGCACUGGGGAAGUUCGUGAGAACUUCACAGUUCUUGUAAUCAAUCCCCCUCACAGUGUUUUCUGGUUUUGAGUAAAGUAUUAUAAAAGAG